Molecule: long non-coding RNA, 1025 nt
Filed under: Mytilus galloprovincialis (Mediterranean mussel)
Lineage: Eukaryota; Metazoa; Mollusca; Bivalvia; Mytilida; Mytilidae
Source: RNAcentral
CUUCCGUAAAUGUUUUAUUGAUUUUUAGUCAACGAGUAACAAAUAUUGCAUACAUGAAAUCAUAUGUUUAAGCGUACUUUACAAGUGAAGUUUACAUUCUGGACACUGCCUCCUUUCAUUGUGUUAUUUGUGGAAAUUCAGCAUCAUAAAUUUGUAAAGUAGAAAAUACAAACGUUCGAUAAAAAUUGAGUCUUGUAGUUCCCUUUUUUAUACUGCACUUGAAACACUUAAUACUGUUGUUUUUAUCUAUCAAACGGUUAGUGCAAUUUUGAUUUCAUGUCAAGUCACGUUUUUUUCACAAUCUGGGGUUCGUUUAGUGAUAGAAAAUAAGGGUUAUUUGUAUACAUAAUAAUUAUUGAAAAACUUGACAUCACUCAAAACAGAGAACCCAUGCCCCACUGGUUAUUAACAGUUAGUUAUAGCCUUUUCUGGUCCGUUUUUUUUUAAUGUAAAGACCGAUGGAAUUUAUCACAGACUGAAGAAUAAAGAAUGUUAUGUGGCCGCUUGUUAUACAAUAAGAGAAGCGUAUUCUUAACCGAUAUGAAAUAAAAGAAUUGUAACAAUUGAAAAGAUGCAAUAUCAAAUCAGUAUGGAGAUCUGGGGGAAGUUAAGACGGAAACCAAUCGGCAAUCCUCGGCUGACUCCGCUAAUCUCCUAGAUGAGGUACGGAAUCGGCCGAGUUGUGACGAAUGGACGGAAACAUUUCAAUUUACUUCUCUUGUUUCUCAGCUUCAUAAAAAAGUAAAUUUAUUUUAACAUUGGCCUUAUUUCAUUUCAUAUAUAUGCAUGUGACACUAGUGCAUGGCAAAAUACAAAGUAGGAAAAAUGCAAGAAAAGGCGUCAUAUAUCCUGUCAGGCAACAAACUUGAACGUGAAUAAACAAAUAUCAUGAUGCAUGGUCAGAUGGCGGUCAUUGUGAAAUUGUUUAAGGUCAUUUCGGACACUCAAAUGUCAAUGUUCAAAUAUGCAUUAUAUUGAUUUCCUUUCAUUUCGCUAGUUUCUUCCGGACCCAUAUUGGACAUGCU